Molecule: ribosomal RNA, 618 nt
Filed under: Pestalotiopsis chamaeropis
Lineage: Eukaryota; Fungi; Ascomycota; Sordariomycetes; Amphisphaeriales; Sporocadaceae
Description: LSU rRNA
Rfam family: Eukaryotic large subunit ribosomal RNA
Source: RNAcentral
GACCACAGGGAUUGCCUUAGUAACGGCGAGUGAAGCGGCAACAGCUCAAAUUUGAAAUCUGGCCCUCGGGUCCGAAUUGUAAUUUGUAGAGGAUGAUUUUGGUGCGGUAUCUUCCGAGUUCCUUGGAACAGGACGCCUUAGAGGGUGAGAGCCCCGUACGGUUGAAUGCCUAGCCUCUGUAAAUCUCCUUCGACGAGUCGAGUAGUUUGGGAAUGCUGCUCUAAAUGGGAGGUAAAUUUCUUCUAAAGCUAAAUAUUGGCCAGAGACCGAUAGCGCACAAGUAGAGUGAUCGAAAGAUGAAAAGCACUUUGAAAAGAGGGUUAAAUAGCACGUGAAAUUGUUGAAAGGGAAGGAUUUGUGACCAGACUUUUUCUGGGCGGAUCAUCCGGGGUUCUCUCCGGUGCACUUUGCCCAGUAAAGGCCAGCAUCGAUUUUCGGCGGCGGAUAAAAGCAGUGGGAAUGUGGCUCCCUACGGGGAGUGUUAUAGCCCAUUGUAUAAUACGCUGCUGGGGAUCGAGGUACGCGCUUCUGCAAGGAUGCUGGCGUAAUGGUUAUCAAUCACCCGUCUUGAAACACGGACCAAGGAGUCGAACAUUUAUGCGAGUGUUUGGGUGGAAA